RNAcentral lists this ribosomal RNA (69 nucleotides) under Entamoeba histolytica. RNAcentral's name for it is "partial small subunit ribosomal RNA". It matches the Rfam family "Eukaryotic small subunit ribosomal RNA", at positions 1208 to 1276 of the family's 1831-position model. The record is from RNAcentral. Lineage: Eukaryota; Evosea; Mastigamoebida; Endamoebidae.
GGAAAACUUACCAAGACCGAACAGUAGAAGGAAUGACAGAUUAAGAGUUCUUUCAUGAUUUAUUGGGUA